ACGAAUGCAGCUAAAGUAGCUCCCCUUCAGGCUCAGGAAGUGUCGAAUCAGCUUGCUGGCCGGUGGAAGCCGCAAGGCUCCAGCGGUUGGACGGCUGGUUGACUGAUCUGCACUCCUGGGGGGAGCUGGCCAACAACAGUUGCCUCUGGCUCACGAGGGUGUUUGGGUAGGUAGCCUCCUCGUCUCGAGGUGGAACUUAUAGCCAUCCAUCUGGCAGUCUGGAGACGACUGAGGAGAGAUGUGAACUUUCACACUUGCAGCACAGGCCCUCCUGGGCUGGGCCGCCUCUUUCCGUUUGGGUACCGCUCCGGGGACUGCUUGCAGUGUCCGCUGACGAAUGCCUGCUUGGUGGGGGGAAUGGUCACGCCUUGUGCUGCAGUU
This 381-nucleotide ribosomal RNA is filed under the name Tethya sp. GW26972. Its description in RNAcentral is "eukaryotic LSU rRNA". The record is from RNAcentral. Lineage: Eukaryota; Metazoa; Porifera; Demospongiae; Tethyida; Tethyidae.